UACGGAGGAUGCAAGCGUUAUCCGGAAUGAUUGGGCGUAAAGCGUCCGCAGGUGGCACUCCAAGUCUGCUGUCAAAGCCUGGGGCUUAACCCUAGAGAGGCAGUGGAAACUGGAGAGCUAGAGUACGGUAGGGGUAGAGGGAAUUCCCGGUGUAGCGGUGAAAUGCGUAGAGAUCGGGAAGAACACCAGUGGCGAAAGCGCUCUGCUAGGCCUGUACUGACACUGAGGGACGAAAGCUAGGGGAGCGAAUGGG
RNAcentral lists this ribosomal RNA (253 nucleotides) under uncultured Chroococcidiopsis sp. RNAcentral describes it as "partial 16S ribosomal RNA". It matches the Rfam family "Bacterial small subunit ribosomal RNA", at positions 524 to 776 of the family's 1533-position model. Lineage: Bacteria; Bacillati; Cyanobacteriota; Cyanophyceae; Chroococcidiopsidales; Chroococcidiopsidaceae. The record is from RNAcentral.